UGGGGAAUUUUGGACAAUGGGGGAAACCCUGAUCCAGCCAUCCCGCGUGUGCGAUGAAGGCCUUCGGGUUGUAAAGCACUUUUGGCAGGAAAGAAACGUCGCGGGUUAAUACCCCGCGAAACUGACGGUACCUGCCAGAAUAAGCACCGGCUAACUACGUGCCAGCAGCCGCGGUAAUACGUAGGGUGCAAGCGUUAAUCGGAAUUACUGGGCGUAAAGCGUGCGCAGGCGGUUCGGAAAGAAAGAUGUGAAAUCCCAGAGCUUAACUUUGGAACUGCAUUUUUAACUACCGGGCUAGAGUGUGUCAGAGGGAGGUGGAAUUCCGCGUGUAGCAGUGAAAUGCGUAGAUAUGCGGAGGAACACCGAUGGCGAAGGCAGCCUCCUGGGAUAACACUGACGCUCAUGCACGAAAGCGUGGGGAGCAAACAGGAUUAGAUACCCUGGUAGUCCACGCCCUAAACGAUGUCAACUAGCUGUUGGGGCCUUCGGGCCUUGGUAGCGCAGCUAACGCGUGAAGUUGACCGCCUGGGGAGUACGGUCGCAAGAUUAAAACUCAAAGGAAUGAC
This 566-nucleotide ribosomal RNA is filed under the name uncultured bacterium. RNAcentral describes it as "partial 16S ribosomal RNA". It matches the Rfam family "Bacterial small subunit ribosomal RNA", at positions 355 to 914 of the family's 1533-position model. The record is from RNAcentral.